Zingiber officinale is the source of this 574-nucleotide long non-coding RNA. RefSeq lists it as uncharacterized. The transcript is spliced from 4 exons. The record is from RefSeq and is a predicted model, not a curated record. NCBI's taxonomy places the organism in Eukaryota, Viridiplantae, Streptophyta, Magnoliopsida, Zingiberales, Zingiberaceae.
CAGGUUCUCUGGCCUAUAGAUGAUGAUUGGUACAAGGGUUCCAUCACGGAGUACAAUUCAGACACCAAGCAUCAUAGAAAAUGAAGGAUUUAUGUUGGAAAUGUGGUGUCCCCAACUUAGAGAAGAAAGGCCUCAAUUACAAUGAAUUGCUGCCUUUAUCACUUAACUUUCAUGAUUGUCAAGGUCUUGAACCAGGUGAACUUGUAUGGGCAAAACUUAUAGAUUGAAAUACCAACAGUUGGGACUACUAUCAUGAAUAUCAUAAUUUUGUAUUUGUCUUUUCCUCUUUGCAUCUGAAGUGCAAGAAGGCAAGAUUUUGUCGAAGCUUGGAUGAAGCAAAAAUGUUGCUAUUGAAGGUUGGAGCAAAUGUCUUUUGUCGUUUGGAGCACAUGCCUUUUGUUGUUUGGAGCACAUGUCUUUUGAUGUUUUUUUGGUGGAGAAAAUUUGUUAUUGAAGGUUGUAUAUAUUUUGGAGAUUGAAGAAAAUAUUGUGUUUGUGUUAUAGUGUGGAGUUAAAUGUUAUAUGUUAUGAAUAUUUUGAAAUGAAAUACAAAUUGUAUGUGUUAAUUUGGUAA